Molecule: long non-coding RNA, 6679 nt
Organism: Vespa velutina
Lineage: Eukaryota; Metazoa; Arthropoda; Insecta; Hymenoptera; Vespidae
Exons: 3
Source: RefSeq, a predicted model, not a curated record
AUCAUCAGCUUUACCGAUUUUUAGUAUAUUUGCCUCUGACCCUGUGUCGACUAAAAAUUCAAUUUCUCUUUUAAGGUCUUUAGAAGAGAUGGCGAUAGGAGGUGAGCUCAGAUCACUGCUUAAGCGGACUGUGCGGGCGUAGUUGGUUCGUCCGUUCUUACCGUCAUAAUUUGACGCGUUUACGCGUUUAUCCCCGAAGUCGCGUCUCUCGUCGGAGGGUGACUCGCGUUUCCCGACUGGCGUUCCUGCCACUUCUUUUUACGACAUUCCUCGAUCAUGUGUCCGAAACUUUUACAAUACCUACACUCUUUCGUAGGAAAGCGGAAAGAUCUUACAGCCGGAGAUGUGUGAGGUAGACGAGAAGGACGAGGAGGAUGGUACCAUCUAUGUGUAGGAGUAUGCUUUUGCGACUCUUGCCUGUUUUUAUAGCAUCGGUCCCGCGUAUGUCCUACUUUCUUACAAUACGAACAGACUUCGCACGCGUCAGUCCGUGUUACUCGUGUGUUAGUUCCUUUUCAUUUUCGUGACUCAUGGUAGUAAUGAUCACCUGGUCGUUCGCUGUUGUCUUUCGAUUGCCAAGAUUUCGCGGUUUUUCUCCUAUUCCAUUCGUACUGCAUUUUGGCAUGCAACUCGAUUGCUCUAUCGCAUGCAUCUGAUAGAUUUUUACUUCGACUAUCUAACAUGUAGGGGAAAUACUCCAUGGGGAGUCCGGCGCAAAAGCUAUCGGAAGCUGGUUGAUCAAUUUUGUUUUUCUUUGCUUAGGACGCUUCUUCCCAAUACCCUUCUUCGUCCAUAAGCGCUUUAUGUAAAUCUUUUACUCUACCGAUAUAUUCAAUCAUAGGUUCGUUCUCGCGCAUUAAAAUAUUUCUAAGUUCGGCUCUAUAAAACUCUUACGAAUGUAUCGAUCCUAGUGAUUGUCUGAGACGAUUGCAUAACGCGUUCAUGUUAUGAAGUUCCUGUUUUUCUAUGGCGCGAUACGCGGAAUCGUGUAUUUUUCGUAUUGCAGCUUUAGUGAAAAGUUCUUCUGGAUAAUCCGGUAUCAUUUGACGAGCUCUCUUACAUGCCUUGAUGAACGAAGUGAGAGGCAUAUUCUUCCCUUAAAAACGCGAUAUCAUUCCUAACGCUUCAUUUAUCGAAUGCUGAUCUGAUUUGGGGCGAGUCUCGUUCUUCAUGGCAAAGAUUUCCUGCAUUAUGAAUACGAGUGGAUCUGUUUCUAUAUUUGUACGUUCGGUUUCGCGCCUCAUUCUUUGCGUGCGCAUAAUGCUUGCUCGCGUGCAGCAAACUGAGAUUCGAAAUUGCAUAAUUUUCUUUGAGCGUACUCUAAUUCGUGCUAGUUGAGUCGCCUAGGUCUUGCACUACGCGUUUCCAUUUUUUUGGAGAGAUUUCCUUAUCAGAUGACAUCGCGUAUAAUUCGCAUAUCCCACCGCUGUCACCAGUUUUGUGUCACCUCCCACUCGGUACAGGUUUUAAAAAAUUUUGUUAAGUUUAAGAUUUUUCUUGAGGAGCUUCGUGAGAUGUGUCCUUUUUCCCCAUUAUCCACUAUGCACAGUUCGUGGCACGGGAUGGACACUUAUACGUACGAUUGUCUGGCGCGGUUAUCUGACUGAAAACUUAGGACUGCUCUUUUCCCUGGGAUCGGAUGGUGUUAAGUCCCUCGGGAUGUUGAUUUCUUCUUCAGUUGUAAUGGGUUCGAGACGAUAUGGAACUGUUUCGCGUUUGUUAGUAGACUCGGAUGAAGCGAUUUCCAUGUCCGCGUGAUGAAGCGGAUCGUAAUACGCCGCGAGUAUCCGCCGUAGUUGAUACUUCCUACCACAACGUCGUGUUCUCGGCAUAAAGAAAGAUGAAGUUUGAGAAUGGAGAAUAAUAACUCUAGUUAUUAUUUAAUGGAUGGUUACGAUAACUCGUACAAUUCGUAUGCACCUUUAGUUAUCGGGGAUUGGAUGAGGUUACGGCAACUCGUGCGAUUCAUACGCAUCUCUAGUUAUAGGGUAAGGAUGUUAUUGCCUUUACUCGUCAGAUUCGUACGCACCUUUAGUAAAGAAUAACUAAGGUGAAGGUUUUCACGUGAUUAAUGGAAGCCUUUUAGCUCCGAACUUGUCGACUGUGUAGUAUGAUCUUGAGACUCGCGAGAGAAUUUAAUGAAUUUAAGUUAGAAUUACGCGAGGUCGCCUGGAAAGCACAGCCGGGGUUAUAUGAACGAACAAUGAGUUUAAACUUAACAAAACUAAUUUAUUAAUAAUUUACCAAGUAACAGUGUACAAUCAACUUUUAAAAUAUAAGAAGACGACCUUGUCGAACGCAGCCCCUGAUGCCAGAAGUUCUCUUGUUUAUUUACUAACUCUUUGCGGACGGAGCGGUCUGACGGGCGAGCGUCGCCGUGUACAACAGGUCUAUAGCAUCCCGUACCAGAUUCUUGGCAUCACUUAUCCAAUCCCAUCUAGAGUUCACUUGGAUGAAGCAUCAUAUUUCAAUGGGCGCUAGAAAUGGCUAGAAGCACUAGAAGUCAUCGCUUCUUCUUCCAUCAAUUCCAGUUCUUUCCUAACUUUUUUAUCGAGGACAACAUCACAGUCGAAUUCCAUUCAAUUAGCAUUCUAUUAGCCAGUCUAGCAUCCUGCAAAGCCAACUUAGCAUCCUGCAAUGGUCUUUUUACCAAAUCCUACAAAAUCGGAGCGAGGACGAAAUUUUAAAGAACUCUCUUACUGAUUCAUCGAGCAACGCUGCUGCUGUUGAAAACAUUUAACGUGAUACGAAUUAAUAGUUGAUAAGGAAAAAUUUAACAAUGAGAAAUAAAUGUCUCGCUGUUUGGGAAACAGAUAUGUAGGCAGUGUAGAAAGGAAAUAAAAUCCCAGUUGAUUAAUUGCUUACAUUGUAGACAAUUUUUCAUCUGAGUUGCCACAAUUUUCAUAAAGUUCAUAAUUCAGCAAAUGAAUCGCUGAGUUGAACUGGUAAAUAUCAAAUAUUUAUAUAAAUAUGAAAUAGGGAGUGUAAUGCGAGGAGUAAUGUAUGCAAGGGGAGUGUAAGGUAGCAGCCCAAUAAUGCAAAUAGCCGAAUAGCGAUCGAGUGUUUCACUCCAAGACAAAGAUCGAACAAAAGAAAAGAAGGCCUAAAAAGAUAGUCAGUGUCUACCAAUCGAAUAACGAUUACAUCUUAGUGUAUCAAUAUUUCUUUGCUUUUCAUUUAUUAGAAUAUAUUGGAUUUCCGUAGAAGAGAGAUUUCUUUUCAUCAUCGGAAUUCUUAUUUUUUUAGUCAGAUAUCAUUUCAGAAGACUGACUAGACCGAGGGAAUUUCAUAUAUAUUAUGUAAAAAGUAUUAGUAACAUAGUCAAAUCUGUAAAUACUGAUAAGUCGAAGAGCACUAGUAGAAGAAUAAUGUAUAUUACUGAAAGUACAGGGAUUAAUAUAGAGAACUGAAUGAUUUAUAUAAAAGAAUAUUACCUGGAAUGAUUAAUAUAAAAGAUUUAGAGGAAAUUGUUAUGAGAUUGUUGAAAAAGAAAGAAACCGAAGAGGGAAUAACUACCAAUAUAUUAAAGUUGGUGUUUUAUUCAAUAAAAGAGAAAUUUGUCGACGUAAUAAAUAAUUCUUUGAAGAAAGGUUGCUAUUCAGAAAGUUGGAAAACAUCAACGAUAUAACCGAUUCCACAAAUAGAAAAAGCUAAAAAGCGAAUGAUUAUAGAUCGAUUACCAAUAUGAGAAAGUGUUAGAAUUAGUGAUGAAGAAGCAAAUAUAAAUGUAUUUUGAAUUUAAUGGUGUUAUAACGGAACAUUGAUUAGAUGUUAGAAAACAAUAUUUGUGUGAAACGGCAAUUCAAACUGUUGUUGAUGAGUGGAAAUUAAUAGUUAGCUAGAGAACAAUUAUGGAUGUUAUUUCUAUGGAUUUUAAGAGAACAUUUGGAACAGUAGAUAGAAAGAGGUUAAUAGAAAAUUUAUAUCAAUAUAAUUUUAGAGAUAUAGUUUUAGAAUAAUUUAAAUCAUAUUUAAAUAAUAGAACGCAGCAGAUUCAUUUCAACGAUAAAUGGUCUGAAUUAAUUAACAUUGAAUAUGGAGUACCGCAAAGAUUUGUGUCGGGACUCUUGUCAUUCAUUGUAUGUAUAAAUUAUAUAAUAGAAAUGUUCUCUGAAUGAUGUAGUAUAAAAAUGUUUACGGAUAAUACAUUAAUUUAUGUUAUUGGAAAAAGUAGUAUACAGUUAAAGACAGAAAUGAAUAAGACAUUUAUCACUAUGACGUCCGGUGCCAUUCGGAAAUUAUUACUCAAGCACCAAUGGCUGCAUUGUAGAGAAUUCAAUUCAUAUUCAAAACUGGAGAACGAAAGAAUAUUGCAUGUUCUGUAACUAACAGUAAAUUACAGACGUAGCAACUUUGUGUUUUCAUAAAAACCUGUACUCUUCAACAAUGGCAAACGAAAAUGAAGAUACAAUUACACGUGAUGAAUGUGUGGACAUCUUGUCUGAUGUUCCAUCCGAAUUUCAAUAUUGUGAGGAACAUGAAGACAUUAUGUCUUUAGAAAAGGAAAAUGAGGCAAUAUCUUCGGAUGAAUUUGAAAUAUGUAAGCAGAGAAUUUGGCGAACUCCCGUUACCAAGUGAUACAGAAGAAUCAGACGAAGAUAACAGUAGACAGUACAUACCGGAAAACCAUAAUAUGAUCAAAAAAAAAGUGGCAUUAUACUUUUUCAAUUGCGUUUUAUACCACGCGUUCGUACUGCAACAAUAUCAUACAGAUUCCAAGAAACUCCACUUCCAUGAUUUUUUAUUGAAAAUAUGCGAAUCUUGGAUAAAAGAUCAUUCACCUGUUGGUAAAGAGAACUUGGAGGUCCCGAGUACAUGGUUUGCUUCCAGUCGUGAAUCAAUCAACUUCCGUACUCGUAGAGGAACACCAGCUGAUACGUAUUUCAGAAACCAACAACCGAAAACGCAGAAGGUGUCAUGUGAGUUAUAAAUCAAAAGCAUUAAGAGAACUAAUUUAAUCUGUAAAUCUUGUGGAGUUGCGCUUCACCUCGCAGAUUACUUUGCUUCGUUUCAUUUAAAAAAUAAAUACUAAGUUUUUAACAAAAUAUAAAUAAAUAGUUAAACAUGUAAUACGAAAAAAUCUUGUACUUAUUUACAUAUGUAUAUUUCGAGAAAAUCGAGAGACAGGGUUGAGAUAUGGGAAUUAUAAGAUUAGUAAACAAGCCGAAAAACCGCCGGCGAUAAGCGAAAUUAUGUAAAUCAGUUCCACCGGCGCGACACGAAAAAAUCUAGAUUAGACGUGCGGACGGCAUAGUGUUAAUACAGUAGAAGAAUUGAAGAAUAUAUAUAAAUUGAGAAUGAAUGUAGAAAAGACGGAAUAUAUGAUAUGAGUGUAAGAAAAGAGAUGGAUGGAAAUAUUGUAUUGAGAUUCUUUAAUGGAACCGAGAUAUAACGUGUAGAGAUAAUGAAAUACUUAGGAAUAAAUGGUAAGCUUAGAUUUAAAUGUCAUUACGAUUGUAUGUUAAAAAAGAUAGGUAAGAAAACUAGUUUUUUGAAUGGAAUAGGAAAUUAUAUAUUUGCAUAUACUAGGUGUAUCACGUAUAAAGCGAUCAUAGCACAAAUCAUAUCACGUGCAACGUUGUUAAUGGAUAUGAGAAAGAUACAGCUGAAUAAAUUGCAAGUAAUGCAAAAUCGGGAAAUGAGAAUAUAUUACAACAUGUGUCUAUGUAUUUUCAAGAUCUUGAGAAAUUUGUUAACUGAACAAUUAAGAAAUAGGUUAGAAAUAGUAGGAAAAGAAAGCGGAAAAAACAUACGACAGACUAGGAACAUUGUAAUACAAUUUCGCAGAAAUAGGGGUGCGCAAACGAGUAUGUUUUAUGAAGGAGUUAAAAUAUAUAAUAAUUUACCAACCGAUAUGACAACGCAAGAGGCUCGACCAAUUUAAAAAGAUGUUAAAGAAGUAUAUUUUCUAUAAUUUCUAAUAUUGUAUAAAUUGUGUAUUACAAAUAGUUGAGAGAGCUAAUAAAGAUCCAUCAAUAAUUUAAUCAAUCGAAGCUUUCAUCAUUUUCAACUAUCGCUGUCACAGCUUCUUCUAAUAAGUCUAAAUCUUAAUUUUCCCUCGAUUUCUUAAUAGAGGAGAACAUUACACUGAAAUUUUAAUCAUCUAAAACUCUUGUAGCUAAACUAGGUUUGUUUUUAUGUACCGAUAUUCUUACUAAGCUGUACAAUUUAUUAUAUAGCCUCCACUAUAUCCACCAUUAUUAUACAAAUAUUGUGUUCUAAGGCAACUUGCUUAUCAAGCUAUAGCUUACCCACAAUGGCUGACUGUCAGUUGUUUGAACACUGCCCUGAAUUACUAUGCUCCUGUUCAACGCCCACUUUCUUCUUUCCACUUAUACGUUUUCUACACGGAGUUAACUUCGAUCCAGUUCUACAGAACUUUAGUAAACCUAACCGGCAAUUCUUAAUACUCGUUUGUUGAUAAUUACGGAUACUUGUUGAUUUUCAAGCUUUUAUUGUUACAUUGUUUAUUCCACUUAUCAAGAUGUUUGUUAAAUUUACUAAAUCCCAUGACGGACCCAUGUAUCAUUCCUCAUGUUGAUUAGAAUACUCAUUCUAGUAUCCCCCUAUCAUGCUCAAAAAUAAGGAAUCAUUUACAGUAUAGAAUUACUUCUAAUUAUUAUUUUCCAUAAUUAUUGUACUUGUAAUUGUGACCGAUACUUGUAAUAAUAAAUAUUUU